GCCGUCUUAGCUCAGUGGUAGAGCGCUUGUCUCGUAAUUUAAUUAUUUUAAAUUAAUUUAAAAACGAGAGAACAAGAGGUCAAAAGUUCGAUCCUUUUAGACGGCA
Non-coding RNA from Anaeramoeba ignava, 106 nucleotides. NCBI's taxonomy places the organism in Eukaryota, Anaeramoebidae. The record is from the annotation of a GenBank genome assembly.